This 451-nucleotide ribosomal RNA is filed under the name uncultured bacterium. RNAcentral describes it as "bacterial SSU rRNA". It matches the Rfam family "Bacterial small subunit ribosomal RNA", at positions 28 to 475 of the family's 1533-position model. The record is from RNAcentral.
GAUGAACGCUGGCGGCGUGCUUAACACAUGCAAGUCGAACGAAGCACUUUAUUACAAUUUCUUCGGAAUGACGAUUUAGUGACUGAGUGGCGGACGGGUGAGUAACGCGUGGGUAACCUGCCUUAUACAGGGGGAUAACAGUUAGAAAUGACUGCUAAUACCGCAUAAGCGCACAGGAUUGCAUGAUCUGGUGUGAAAAACUCCGGUGGUAUAAGAUGGACCCGCGUCUGAUUAGCUGGUUGGUGAGGUAACGGCCCACCAAGGCGACGAUCAGUAGCCGACCUGAGAGGGUGACCGGCCACAUUGGGACUGAGACACGGCCCAAACUCCUACGGGAGGCAGCAGUGGGGAAUAUUGCACAAUGGGGGAAACCCUGAUGCAGCGACGCCGCGUGAGCGAAGAAGUAUUUCGGUAUGUAAAGCUCUAUCAGCAGGGAAGAAAAAAAUGACGG